AAAAACAUGUCUUUUUGAGAAUAAUUUAAAGUCUGACCUGCCCACUGAAAAGAAAGUUUGAAGGGCCGCAGUAUUUUGACUGUGCAAAGGUAGCAUAAUCAUUAGUCUUUUAAUUGAGGACUGGUAUGAAUGGUUUAACGAAGUAUUAACUGUCUCAUUUUAAUAAGUUGAAAUUAACUUUUGAGUUAAAAGGCUUAAAUGGAAUUAAAGGACGAGAAGACCCUAUAGAGCUUUAUAAAUUUAGUGUUAGAUAUAAUUUGGAAGUAUUAUUAAAUUUAAGUAAAAAAUUUAUUUUAUUGGGGUGAUAUGAAGAUUUAAUAAACUCUUUAUAGUAAUUAAACAUAGAUAAAUGAAUAAUUGAUCCAUUUUUAGUGAUUAUAAGAUUAAGUUACCUUAGGGAUAACAGCGUAAUGUUUUUUGAGAGUUCUUAUCAACAAAAAAGAUUGCGACCUCGAUGUUGGAUUAAGGAAAAGGUUGGGUGUAGAAGUUCAAAUAUUUAGGUCUGUUCGACCUUUAAAUCCUUACGUCAUCUG
Molecule: ribosomal RNA, 533 nt
Filed under: Troglophilus ferzenensis
Lineage: Eukaryota; Metazoa; Arthropoda; Insecta; Orthoptera; Rhaphidophoridae
Description: partial 16S ribosomal RNA
Rfam family: Bacterial large subunit ribosomal RNA
Source: RNAcentral